Molecule: long non-coding RNA, 1091 nt
Filed under: Anas platyrhynchos platyrhynchos (common mallard)
Lineage: Eukaryota; Metazoa; Chordata; Aves; Anseriformes; Anatidae
Description: lncRNA (ENSAPLG00000016602.1)
Source: RNAcentral
AGUUUAUUGAGAACAUUUGCCUUGGUCAGACUUUUGAUUAUUUUGGCUCUGAAACCUGGUUUACAUUGAUUUAAUCAUUAGAAUACCCUCUUCUAAGGCUUUCAAAUGAUGCAAUUAAGUGCAAAUACCACAUCUCCUGCACAGCAACAGGGAUCUGAACAGUUAUGACAAAUCCAGUAGGCACAAAUACGUGUAAUUUUUUUUACCAUGUAACAGGGUCUAAUUCUGUAGCAGAGCAUGUAUAAAUUGUUAAAAUAAUACAUCGUUUGCUAUCAUUAUCCAUUGUAAUGUUUGCAUAUCUUUGUGUCAUUCUAGGCAUCUUUACUGAGUUUCCAAGUGAAAAACACAGUGUUUAUUGUUUAGGGACAGUACAUAUCCAGUUUGAAACUCCAGCCAUUUACAAAAAAAAAUCAUAGUGUUCUGAUUUCAUCCGGAAAGCAAAUAGCGGCUGUGGUACAUGUGUAAUACAGACAUGUCAGCAUCUACAAGAAUUACUCACCCAUUCUUAAGACAUCCAUUCAUCCAUAAGGGUGAAGUCUGUCUCAGAGAACUCAUCUCCACAGCAGCGGGUGACAGGCUAUGCUGCUAAUUCCUGUGGGGAGUCCACCUGGGAUGCUGGCACUGGAACAUCUUCACUACCACCCAUUCCCAGGCAGGAUUUCAUCCCUUUAAGAGGACUGGCUGAAUUCCCACCUCUAGUGUUGCAGUCUGCUUGAAAACUCAGACAUUGAUAAAGCCAUUAAGGUAGGUGACAUCUUCAGGCAUUAUUUACCUGUGAGGACUAAGGCUUGUCUUGCUUGUGUGUGAAAGUCAGACUCCUGAUGUCAGUAUGUAGCUUUGGGAGCUGUGAUAAUAGCCAGAGACCUAUAAUGCUUUUGCUUUUAUCUUGUUGCAUUUUAGUACAAACGUCUUACCAAUAUCUAACAUACAAUGUUUCAGUAUAAAUUUAUAAUUAUUUGUAUUCACAGUAAUAUUGUCAAUAGUCAAACUGAAAUCAAAAGACCGAUAACGAUUUGACUUUCCUGUCAUUCUUGCCCAUUUCAAAGAUCAUUCAAAAUAAAUUAAAAAGAAUAAAUUAUUGAAAUAGUAUU